Ictidomys tridecemlineatus (thirteen-lined ground squirrel) is the source of this 73-nucleotide non-coding RNA. Lineage: Eukaryota; Metazoa; Chordata; Mammalia; Rodentia; Sciuridae. The record is from Rfam.
GGGGAUAUAGCUCAGUUGGUAGAGUGCUUGCCUUGUAUACACAAGGCCCUUGGUUCAAUCCCCAGCACCACCA